AUGAACGCUGGCGGCGUGCCUAAUACCUGCAAGUCGCGCGAACGGACGAGAAGCUUGCUUCUCUGAUGUUAGCGGCGGACGGGUGAGUAACACGUGGAUAACCUACCUAUAAGACUGGGAUAACUUCGGGAAACCGGAGCUAAUACCGGAUAAUAUUUUGAACCGCAUGGUUCAAAAGUGAAGGACGGUCUUGCUGUCACUUAUAGAUGGAUCCGCGCUGCAUUAGCUAGUUGGUAAGGUAACGGCUUACCAAGGCAACGAUGCAUAGCCGACCUGAGAGGGUGAUCGGCCACACUGGAACUGAGACACGGUCCAGACUCCUACGGGAGGCAGCAGUAGGGAAUCUUCCGCAAUGGGCGAAAGCCUGACGGAGCAACGCCGCGUGAGUGAUGAAGGUCUUCGGAUCAUAAAACUCUGUUAUUAGGGAAGAACAUAUGUGUAAGUAACUGUGCACAUCUUGACGGUACCUAAUCAGAAAGCCACGGCUAACUACGUG
This 496-nucleotide ribosomal RNA is filed under the name uncultured bacterium. Its description in RNAcentral is "partial 16S ribosomal RNA". It matches the Rfam family "Bacterial small subunit ribosomal RNA", at positions 29 to 507 of the family's 1533-position model. The record is from RNAcentral.